GGAUUUACUGGGCAUAAAGCGUGCGUAGGCGGCUUUUUAAGUCGGAUGUGACAUCCCCGAGCUUAACUUGGGAAUUGCAUCCGAUACUGGGAAGCUAGAGUAUGGGAGAGGAUGGUAGAAUUCCAGGUGUAGCGGUGAAAUGCGUAGAGAUCUGGAGGAAUACCGAUGGCGAAGGCAGCCAUCUGGCCUAAUAAUGACGCUGAGGUACGAAAGCAUGGGGAGCAAACAGGAUUAGAUACCCUGGUAGUCCAUGCCGUAAACGAUGUCUACUAGCCGUUGGGGCCUUUGAGGCUUUAGUGGCGCAGCUAACGCGAUAAGUAGACCGCCUGGGGAGUACGGUCGCAAGACUAAAACUCAAAUGAAUUGACGGGGGCCCGCACAAGCGGUGGAGCAUGUGGUUUAAUUCGAUGCAACGCGAAGAACCUUACCUGGUCUUGACAUAGUAAGAACUUUCCAGAGAUGGAUUGGUGCCUUCGGGAACUUACAUACAGGUGCUGCAUGGCUGUCGUCAGCUCGUGUCGUGAGAUGGUGGGUUAAGUCCCGCAACGAGCGCAACCCUUUUCCUUAUUUGCCAGCACUUCGGGUGGGAACUUUAAGGAUACUGCCAGUGACAAACUGGAGGAAGGCGGGGACGACGUCAAGUCAUCAUGGCCCUUACGACCAGGGCUACACACGUGCUACAAUGGUCGGUACAAAGGGUUGCUACCUAGCGAUAGGAUGCUAAUCUCAAAAAGCCGAUC
Molecule: ribosomal RNA, 740 nt
Filed under: Acinetobacter sp. S2IP18(2011)
Lineage: Bacteria; Pseudomonadati; Pseudomonadota; Gammaproteobacteria; Moraxellales; Moraxellaceae
Description: bacterial SSU rRNA
Rfam family: Bacterial small subunit ribosomal RNA
Source: RNAcentral